AUUUAGAGUGUAUAUAAAAUAAGAGAUGGAAAACAAGGAAAGGAAGAUAAAAUUGGUAUCUUCAAGAGGGCACGCUUAACUCUGUAAUUCCUGCCAAAUCCUCCACUCAGAGGGGCAGUGGCCACUUUGAGCAACAAGAGAUCAGGUACCGUGCCACUUGCAGCGUUCAGGCUCAGCACUUUAGGAACAGUUAGCAGGAAAACUUUGAUUCUGUAGGACUCGCACACCAAGAACAGAGUCCUAGACCUGCCACGUGGUUAACUGCGUCCUGUCCAGAAGAGGGAUACUGGGUGAAUCAAAGUUACCCUAGGCAAGGUGAGCUGACAGAAAACUUGGUCUCAGCACAGCUUUCUCUUUCACCUUCUUUUGUCGAUCCCAAACAUUUGUUGUGUCUCUUCUCAGUAUAGUGUUAUUGCUUGGCCUUGUUCUGGACAGGGAGGUACAGCUUGAACUCAGCUGGGAGCUCAUCCUCAGAGUACAGCCGGUCAGAGAAGUACACCCGUCGGAUGCGACAGUUGGCGUGGAUCUGAACUCUCAGAGUCUCAAUGUAAUUUGUCCCGUAAGCCCUGCGCGUGAAGUCUGAGAGGUUGAACUGGAUUUGGUUCCAGCCGUCGUCCAGCCGCAUGGGCAUGGUGCAGAUGAAGGGCUUCACUCGUGUUGUGCUCUGGUAGUUACUCGCCCGGAAGCGCCGCCGUACGUUCUUGUCAUCGAGCACCUGCACUUCAAAAGUGAAAUACUUCUUCAGGUUCUUGAUGAUCAUCACUAGGAAAGGCAGCUUAAUGCCCAGGGUCUUCUUUGGGUCAGCAGGGCACGUGAUGUACGUGGUACUGACGUUUGUUCCUUCAAUCUCCAGCACCAGUGACUGGAUGUCAUUAUCGGUGAUCCGCUUGAUGUGGCCAUUGCGCACCUUCUUGUCCCAGAUCUGCAGCGGCUUGCUGCCGAUGCUGUAGAGCACCGAGAGGAACCCGCUCUGGAACGUGUUCUUGAACAUGGCGCCCGCGGGAGCAGCGCGCCGCCACCACGGCCGGUGGCGGAAGGACACAGCGGCGCUCGCGGAUCCCUCCGCGCCGCCCCGCCGCCGCCGCCGCCGCCACUGGGC
Molecule: long non-coding RNA, 1099 nt
Filed under: Gallus gallus (chicken)
Lineage: Eukaryota; Metazoa; Chordata; Aves; Galliformes; Phasianidae
Source: RNAcentral